Molecule: ribosomal RNA, 477 nt
Filed under: uncultured bacterium
Lineage: Bacteria
Description: partial 16S ribosomal RNA
Rfam family: Bacterial small subunit ribosomal RNA
Source: RNAcentral
GAUUAACGCUGGCGGCGUGCAUAACACAUGCAAGUCGAACGAUGAAGAUUAUUAGACUUCUUCGGAAUGAAAAUAAUUGGAUUAGUGGCGGACGGGUGAGUAACGCGUGAGUAACCUGCCUUACACAAGGGGAUAGCCGUUGGUAACGACGAAUAAUACCCUAUGAAACUAUCACUUCGCAUGAAGCGAUAGUCAAAGUGUUAGCGGUGUAAGAUGGACUUGCGUCUGAUUAGCUAGUUGGUGAGAAAAAAGCCCACCAAGGCAACGAUCAGUAGCCGGCUUGAGAGAGUGUACGGCCACAUUGGGACUGAGACACGGCCCAGACUCCUACGGGAGGCAGCAGUGGGGAAUUUUGCACAAUGGGGGAAACCCUGAUGCAGCGACGCCGCGUGAUUUAGAAGGCCUUCGGGUUGUAAAAAUCUUUUGUAUAGGAAGAAAAUGACAGUACUAUACGAAUAAGGUCCGGCUAAUUACGUG